GGCGGAGUGGCGGACGGGUGAGGAGCGCGUAAGGACCUGCCCCUGGGAGGGGGAUAACAGCUGGAAACGGCUGCUAAUACCCCAUAGCCUGAGGAGGGAAAGGAGAGAUCCGCCCAGGGAGGGGCUUGCGUCUGAUUAGCUGGUUGGGGGGGGUAAUGGCCUCCCAAGGCAACGAUCAGUAGCUGGUCUGAGAGGAUGAUCAGCCACACUGGGACUGAAACACGGCCCAAACUCCUACGGGAGGCAGCAGUGAGGAAUCUUCCGCAAUGGGCGAAAGCCUGACGGGGCAAUGCCGCGUGGAGGAUGAAGGCCCAAUGGGUCGUAAACUCCUUUAAAUCAAAGACAAAAAGAUGACGGUACCUGAAAAACUAAGCAUCGGCUAAACCCCGUGCCAGCAGCCGCGGUAAGACGGGGGAUAUGAGCGUUAUCCGGAAUGAUUGGGCGUAAAGGGUCCGCAGGUGGCCCGGUCAGUCCGCUGUCAAAGCCUGGGGCUCAACCCUGGAGAGGCGGCGGA
RNAcentral lists this ribosomal RNA (514 nucleotides) under uncultured bacterium. Its description in RNAcentral is "bacterial SSU rRNA". It matches the Rfam family "Bacterial small subunit ribosomal RNA", at positions 89 to 630 of the family's 1533-position model. The record is from RNAcentral.